CACGUAAGGGGCGAGCGUUGUUCGGAAUUAUUGGGCGUAAAGGGCACGCAGGCGGCCCGGCAAGUCUGAUGUGAAACUCCUGGGCUCAACUCAGGGACCGCGUUGGAAACUGCCGAGCUGGAAUCUUGGAGGGGGAGUCGGAAUUCCUAGUGUAGGGGUGAAAUCUGUUGAUAUUAGGAAGAACACCGGUGGCGAAGGCGGACUCCUGGCCGAAGAUUGACGCUGAGGUGCGAAAGCAUAGGGAGCAAACAGG
Molecule: ribosomal RNA, 253 nt
Filed under: uncultured bacterium
Lineage: Bacteria
Description: partial 16S ribosomal RNA
Rfam family: Bacterial small subunit ribosomal RNA
Source: RNAcentral